This 27-nucleotide non-coding RNA is filed under the name Homo sapiens (human). The record is from RNAcentral. Lineage: Eukaryota; Metazoa; Chordata; Mammalia; Primates; Hominidae.
UGAGUGAAUGUUAGUACCCAUCAUGGU